This is a long non-coding RNA of Onychomys torridus (southern grasshopper mouse), 650 nucleotides long. RefSeq lists it as uncharacterized. Lineage: Eukaryota; Metazoa; Chordata; Mammalia; Rodentia; Cricetidae. The transcript has 5 exons. The record is from RefSeq and is a predicted model, not a curated record.
GCGGAGCACGCUGAAGGAUCCGGGUGCGCCCUGCCUCUAGUUGCACCUUAGCGGCGUACUCACGCCCUUCCCCGGCGGGCGGCAGGGCGCGGGCGGUUAGACAGCCUCGGUGGAGCCCCGUCCAGCGCCUGCUGGAGUAAAGCGGAAGGAGCCCGUGGCUUCCCGUUUCUGGUCCUACUUUGGGGUUCUGAGGGAGAGCCAGCUACGUAGUCCAUUGGUCGGCUCGAUGACGGGCAGCCAGCCCUCCCUAAAACCCACCACUUCGACAGUUCGGCUUCUGACGCCGGCUUGCUUUUGUCGUCACGGGAACUCUGCUCCCUUUCUGAGGACUCACCUUCUCCCAGUGCUGGAAAACCAAAAGAAAAUGGCAUAACCAAUGUGUUCCCGACUCUUGGGAAUCAGGGCAGAGAAUGAGCAUGAUGCUGCAACCCAAGAGGCAAGCUGUCUGCGGAGGAAAAACUAAGUGAGAUCUGGUGUGAGUAGUGGUCAGGACUUGCCAAUCAAGAAUAUGGCUGAGGCUCUCACCCAGUGGGGAAAGCUGAGCCCUUCUCAGGGAGAUGUGCCUAAGAAACUCAAGAAUCUGGUUUUGCUGGGGCUUUCAAUUUCCAAACCUGAUGUGAUCUCUCAUUUGGAGCACAGGGAAGAACUAG